This 427-nucleotide ribosomal RNA is filed under the name uncultured bacterium. RNAcentral describes it as "partial 16S ribosomal RNA". It matches the Rfam family "Bacterial small subunit ribosomal RNA", at positions 355 to 774 of the family's 1533-position model. The record is from RNAcentral.
UGGGGAAUAUUGCACAAUGGGCGCAAGCCUGAUGCAGCCAUGCCGCGUGUAUGAAGAAGGCCUUCGGGUUGUAAAGUACUUUCAGCGAGGAGGAAGGCGUUGUGGUUAAUAACCGCAGCGAUUGACGUUACUCGCAGAAGAAGCACCGGCUAACUCCGUGCCAGCAGCCGCGGUAAUACGGAGGGUGCAAGCGUUAAUCGGAAUUACUGGGCGUAAAGCGCACGCAGGCGGUCUGUCAAGUCGGAUGUGAAAUCCCCGGGCUCAACCUGGGAACUGCAUCCGAAACUGGCAGGCUAGAGUCUUGUAGAGGGGGGUAGAAUUCCAGGUGUAGCGGUGAAAUGCGUAGAGAUCUGGAGGAAUACCGGUGGCGAAGGCGGCCCCCCGGACAAAGACUGACGCUCAGGUGCGAAAGCGUGGGGAGCAAACA